CAUAGCGUAAUGAAGCGAACCGGGGGAACUGAAACAUCUAAGUACCCCGAGGAAAAGAAAUCAACCGAGAUUCCCCCAGUAGCGGCGAGCGAACGGGGAGCAGCCCAGAGUCUGAAUCAGCUUGUGUGUUAGUGGAACGGUCUGGAAAGUCCGACGGUACAGGGUGAUAGUCCCGUACACCAAAAUGCACAGGUUGUGAACUCGAAGAGUAGGGCGGGACACGUGGUAUCCUGUCUGAAUAUGGGGGGACCAUCCUCCAAGGCUAAAUACUCCUGACUGACCGAUAGUGAACCAGUACCGUGAGGGAAAGGCGAAAAGAACCCCGGCGAGGGGAGUGAAAAAGAACCUGAAACCGUGUACGUACAAGCAGUGGGAGCCUCUUUAUGGGGUGACUGCGUACCUUUUGUAUAAUGGGUCAGCGACUUAUAUUCUGUAGCAAGGUUAACCGUAUAGGGGAGCCGAAGGGAAACCGAGUCUUAACUGGGCGUUAAGUUGCAGGGUAUAGACCCGAAACCCGGUGAUCUAGCCAUGGGCAGGUUGAAGGUUGGGUAACACUAACUGGAGGACCGAACCGACUAAUGUUGAAAAAUUAGCGGAUGACUUGUGGCUGGGGGUGAAAGGCCAAUCAAACCGGGAGAUAGCUGGUUCUCCCCGAAAGCUAUUUAGGUAGCGCCUCGUGAAUUCAUCUUCGGGGGUAGAGCACUGUUUCGGCUAGGGGGUCAUCCCGACUUACCAACCCGAUGCAAACUGCGAAUACCGAAGAAUGUUAUCACGGGAGACACACGGCGGGUGCUAACGUCCGUCGUGAAGAGGGAAACAACCCAGACCGCCAGCUAAGGUCCCAAAGUCAUGGUUAAGUGGGAAACGAUGUGGGAAGGCACAGACAGCCAGGAUGUUGGCUUAGAAGCAGCCAUCAUUUAAAGAAAGCGUAAUAGCUCACUGGUCGAGUCGGCCUGCGCGGAAGAUGUAACGGGGCUAAACCAUGCACCGAAGCUGCGGCAGCGACACUAUGUGUUGUUGGGUAGGGGAGCGUUCUGUAAGCCGUUGAAGGUGUGCUGUGAGGCAUGCUGGAGGUAUCAGAAGUGCGAAUGCUGACAUAAGUAACGAUAAUGCGGGUGAAAAACCCGCACGCCGGAAGACCAAGGGUUCCUGUCCAACGUUAAUCGGGGCAGGGUGAGUCGACCCCUAAGGCGAGGCCGAAAGGCGUAGUCGAUGGGAAACAGGUUAAUAUUCCUGUACUUGGUGUUACUGCGAAGGGGGGACGGAGAAGGCUAUGUUAGCCGGGCGACGGUUGUCCCGGUUUAAGCAUGUAGGCGGAGGUUCCAGGUAAAUCCGGUACCUUUUUAACGCUGAGGUGUGAUGACGAGGCACUACGGUGCUGAAGUAACAAAUGCCCUGCUUCCAGGAAAAGCCUCUAAGCAUCAGGUAACACGAAAUCGUACCCCAAACCGACACAGGUGGUCAGGUAGAGAAUACCAAGGCGCUUGAGAGAACUCGGGUGAAGGAACUAGGCAAAAUGGUGCCGUAACUUCGGGAGAAGGCACGCUGAUAUGUAGGUGAAGUGAUUUACUCAUGGAGCUGAAAUCAGUCGAAGAUACCAGCUGGCUGCAACUGUUUAUUAAAAACACAGCACUGUGCAAACACGAAAGUGGACGUAUACGGUGUGACGCCUGCCCGGUGCCGGAAGGUUAAUUGAUGGGGUUAUCCGUAAGGAGAAGCUCUUGAUCGAAGCCCCGGUAAACGGCGGCCGUAACUAUAACGGUCCUAAGGUAGCGAAAUUCCUUGUCGGGUAAGUUCCGACCUGCACGAAUGGCGUAAUGAUGGCCAGGCUGUCUCCACCCGAGACUCAGUGAAAUUGAACUCGCUGUGAAGAUGCAGUGUACCCGCGGCAAGACGGAAAGACCCCGUGAACCUUUACUAUAGCUUGACACUGAACACUGGUCCUUGAUGUGUAGGAUAGGUGGGAGGCUUUGAAGUGUGGACGCCAGUCUGCAUGGAGCCAUCCUUGAAAUACCACCCUUUAAUGGCUGGUGUUCUAACGUGGACCCGUAAUCCGGGUUGCGGACAGUGUCUGGUGGGUAGUUUGACUGGGGCGGUCUCCUCCUAAAGAGUAACGGAGGAGCACGAAGGUUAGCUAAUCCUGGUCGGACAUCAGGAGGUUAGUGCAAAGGCAUAAGCUAGCUUGACUGCGAGAGUGACGGCUCGAGCAGGUGCGAAAGCAGGUCUUAGUGAUCCGGUGGUUCUGAAUGGAAGGGCCAUCGCUCAACGGAUAAAAGGUACUCCGGGGAUAACAGGCUGAUACCGCCCAAGAGUUCAUAUCGACGGCGGUGUUUGGCACCUCGAUGUCGGCUCAUCACAUCCUGGGGCUGAAGUAGGUCCCAAGGGUAUGGCUGUUCGCCAUUUAAAGUGGUACGCGAGCUGGGUUUAGAACGUCGUGAGACAGUUCGGUCCCUAUCUGCCGUGGGCGCUGGAGAAUUGAGGGGGGCUGCUCCUAGUACGAGAGGACCGGAGUGGACGCAUCACUGGUGUUCGGGUUGUCAUGCCAAUGGCAUUGCCCGGUAGCUAAAUGCGGAAGAGAUAAGUGCUGAAAGCAUCUAAGCACGAAACUUGCCCCG
Molecule: ribosomal RNA, 2615 nt
Filed under: Citrobacter freundii
Lineage: Bacteria; Pseudomonadati; Pseudomonadota; Gammaproteobacteria; Enterobacterales; Enterobacteriaceae
Description: partial 23S ribosomal RNA
Rfam family: Bacterial large subunit ribosomal RNA
Source: RNAcentral